This 461-nucleotide ribosomal RNA is filed under the name uncultured bacterium. RNAcentral describes it as "bacterial SSU rRNA". It matches the Rfam family "Bacterial small subunit ribosomal RNA", at positions 64 to 507 of the family's 1533-position model. The record is from RNAcentral.
GAGCGAGAACGGGGCUUCGGCUCCUAGUAAAGCGGCGGACGGGUGAGUAAUGCGUAGGUAAUCUUCCCUCGAGCGGGGGACAACGUUCCGAAAGGGACGCUAAUACCGCAUACGUUCUCCGAGACUCCGGUCUUGGAGAGGAAAGCUAGGUAGCAAUAUCUGGCACUCGAGGAGGAGCCUACGUCGCAUCAGCUAGUUGGUGGGGUAACGGCCUACCAAGGCGAAGACGCGUAGCUGGUCUGAGAGGAUGAUCAGCCACACUGGGACUGAGACACGGCCCAGACUCCUACGGGAGGCAGCAGUGGGGAAUAUUGGACAAUGGGCGCAAGCCUGAUCCAGCCACGCCGCGUGAGUGAUGAAGGCCUUCGGGUCGUANAGCUCUGUGGGGAGGGACGAACCGCCGCUGGUUUAUACCCAGCGGCAUGACGGUACCUCCUUNAGCAGCACCGGCUAACUUCGUG